Molecule: ribosomal RNA, 371 nt
Filed under: uncultured organism
Description: bacterial SSU rRNA
Rfam family: Bacterial small subunit ribosomal RNA
Source: RNAcentral
CAGAGGGGCAAGCGUUAUUCGGAAUUAUUGGGCGUAAAGGGCGCGUAGGCGGCUUUUCAAGUGGCGGGUGAAAUCCCUCGGCUUAACCGAGGAACUGCCUGCCAGACUGAAUGGCUUGAGACCGGGAGAGGUGAGUGGAAUUCCCAGUGUAGCGGUGAAAUGCGUAGAUAUUGGGAGGAACACCAGUGGCGAAGGCGGCUCACUGGACCGGUACUGACGCUGAGGCGCGAAAGCGUGGGGGGCAAACAGGAUUAGAUACCCUGGUAGUCCACGCCGUAAACGAUGAGUGCUUGGUGUAGCGGGUAUCGACCCCUGCUGUGCCGACGUCAACACAUUAAGCACUCCGCCUGGGGAGUACGGUCGCAAGACUG